This 983-nucleotide ribosomal RNA is filed under the name uncultured bacterium. RNAcentral describes it as "bacterial SSU rRNA". It matches the Rfam family "Bacterial small subunit ribosomal RNA", at positions 60 to 1057 of the family's 1533-position model. The record is from RNAcentral.
AGUCGAACGGGAUCCUAUUACUUCGGUUUUAGGUGAGAGUGGCGAACGGGUGAGUAACGCGUUGGUGACCUGCCUUAGAGAGGGGGACAACCAUUGGAAACGAUGGCUAAUACCCUGGAUGUCUUCGUUUUUAGUAAGCGAUGACUAAAGCUCCGGCGCUCUAAGAGGGGCCAGCGUCCCAUCAGCUUGUUGGUGAGGUAACGGCUCACCAAGGCUCAGACGGGUAGGGGGCGUGAGAGCUUGACCCCCCACACUGGUACUGAAACACGGACCAGAUACCUACGGGUAGCAGCAGCAAGGAAUAUUGCGCAAUGGGCGAAAGCCUGACGCAGCAACACCGCGUGGAGGAUGAAGGUUUUCGGAUCGUAAACUCCUUUUCUGGGGGAAGAGAAAGGACGGUACCCCAGGAAUAAGGCCCGGCUAACUACGUGCCAGCAGCCGCGGUAAAACGUAGGGGCCAAGCGUUAUCCGGAUUUAUUGGGCGUAAAGCGCAUGCAGGCGGCUUUUUAAGUCAGACGUGAAAGCUCCCGGCUCAACUGGGAGAGGUCGUUUGAAACUGGAAGGCUUGAGGAUGGUAGAGGUGAGUGGAAUUCCCGGUGUAGUGGUGAAAUGCGUAGAUAUCGGGAGGAACACCAGUGGCGAAGGCGGCUCACUGGGCCAUUCCUGACGCUCAGAUGCGAAACUUAGGGGAGAGAACGGGAUUAGAAACCCCGGUAUUCCUAGCCGUAAAUGAUGUCAACUAGGUGUGGAGGGUACCCAAUCCCUCUGUGCUGUAGCUAACGCGUUAAGUUGACCGCCUGGGGACUACGGCCGCAAGGCUAAAACUCAAAGGAAUUGACGGGGCCCCGCACAAGCAGCGGAGCGUGUGGUUUAAUUCGAGGCUACGCGAAGAACCUUACCAGGGCUUGACAUAUUUGUAGUAGGGAUCCGAAUGGUGACCGACCCUUCGGGGAGCAUUUACAGGUUCUGCAUGGCUGCCGUCA